UGCUUUUCUGGAAAACCUGGAAGCCAUUGGCAGGGCUGUCUGGACCCCUCCUCCAGUCCUCCCAAGGCCUUGCCUGGACACAACUGACAUCUACAUAGACAGUCACACUCGUGGAACACAAGGGGGAGGGGUGGGGAUUCGGUGUGGCCUCAGUUGUUCUCAAAUUACAUGAUAAAGUAGAUGUAGUGGAUCCUUUACACCAAAAGGCGUUGUGGAGUCCAGUUAUAGGAAUGCAUAACAUGUUAGCAGGACUCAUUGUAGCCUCCUCCUCAGAAGAGCCAAGGAACUCAGCCACACCCUUAAAGGCAAGGUGAUUGCACUACAAUUAGUUGACCUAUCUGGAAAAUUAAAGCUUCCCUGUGGUUUGAGGUUCUGCUCCUUUCUUUUUCUUUUCUUUUCUUUUCUUUUUUUUUUUUUUUUUUUUUUUUUUGAAUUCUUACAAGCUUCUGUUUUUGUUUUGUUUUUACCACCCUUGAGAUCCAGGUGAGGCUUUUGCUUGGAGUAGUUCGUGCAUCCUAUGGAGACAGGUUAUCAGCGUUGUGCUAGCAUUGUGCACUUCGGUCUGGGGUGGGGGGUUAGGUAGGUGUUGGGGUGCGGUGGGGGGGGAAUUCUGCUUGAAGUCUGCGUGGGCCAAUGCCGAAUUCAGACUUGGCUGCCAGACCCACCACGAGUCCGUGCUGUCCAAAGGGAGCAGACCGGAGGCAAGGAAUCCUAGCGCUCAGAUGUGUUCUCACUCACUCCUCCCUUGCUAAGUUGUGCGGUUCGCCGGGAGGAGUUCCUUCCCUUUGGCUCUUCUGGCCCAGACGUCUGUGGAGUCCAUGUGCAGCGAAGGGCAUCACUGGCCAGAAGUGAAAUUCUGGAAGCACGUUCCAGGGUUUGUCAGUUUCUCUGAAUGCCUGAGUAAUCCUGCAUUAUUAAGUAGGCAAGCCAGAUCAGGAACUGCAGUGUGAUCCAAGUGUGAAUAGUGACUUCAAGGAGCAGCAGAGGAAAUGCAUCUUGAACUUUCCUGAGUGAUCGUCCCUCCAAGGCAAAAGUGAUGCAGGAUGGCCAGUGUAUCUCUGGGCCUGGACAAGGAGUGGAGAGAGAAAGAGAAUGUGGAGAGAUGGAGGAGCAGAGGGAGAGGGAGAGAGAAUACCCAGCAGAAUCCCCACCUGAACAUGGAGCCCACAUGGAGAUGGACCUCACGACCCUGAAAUCAUAACCCCAGCUGAAAUCAAGAGUUGGUCACCCAACCAACCGAGCCACCCAAGUACCCCUGCAAAAGAUAUUUUAGGUAUAAUGAGCUACAACUUCUCUUUCUUCUUUGACUUUGACUUGUUCACAUUUUUCCCUUGUGUUGGGUAGAUCACUGGAAUGGCCCCAGUUAUUUGAGGGACUCCCUUUAGUUAUUAGGGGAUGAGUUGGGAAGCUGCUCAGUCUGGAUCUAUGAGAAUUCAUUUACAUGACUUACUGUCACUUCUACAUGUAGUUAGUUUGUUGUUAGCAAUCCUAUGUAGAAAUGACCUCAAAUAUGCUCUUAUAAAUAAUCAAAAGUAGUGAAUCACAUCAAUACAUUGGGGGAAAAAAUCAAUAUGAGAUGAUUUGAUGUAAAACAUUCACAUUGAGAAAUUACAAAUAGUAUUUCACUAGAAGGAGUCAAUUUAGUUAAUGAGUGAUGUCAGAGUAUUUUACUCCUCAAGAGCAACUGAAAUGGCCUGAAAUCAUGUGAAAAGACUUGAAAAAGGUUCUCCCUCAAAAGGUAUUCCCAUUUGACAGUAAUUAAAACUUUUACCUGAAUUUGCCAAUUAUGAGAGUUCUGAGUUUUAAAAUAUUUUCCCUGAACAUUCAACAACUUAAAAACACUAAAUUUGACUAUUAUCCUUUUCCACCUUGAGUUGUAUUAGCACCUUGGUUGAAAAUUACUGGGUCAUAUAUAUGUGGUUCUAUUUCUAGACUCUCUAUUUUGCCUAACCAGCCUAUGUUGUCUUGAUUUUUAUUAUACCUUCAUAAAAAUUCUUAAAAUCAAGUAAGAAAAUUUGCCAAUAUUUUUUAUUUUUAAAACAGUUUCAGCUUUGCAUUUUAAUAUUAAUUUUAGAAUCAGACUGAUAAUUGACACUAAAAAUAGCCUGCUGGGAUUUUGAUUCCUAUUGCUUUGAAUUUAUACUUUGAGAGAAAUUUGUCAUAUUAA
Molecule: long non-coding RNA, 2167 nt
Organism: Canis lupus familiaris (dog)
Lineage: Eukaryota; Metazoa; Chordata; Mammalia; Carnivora; Canidae
Exons: 4
Source: RefSeq, a predicted model, not a curated record